AACGAACGCUGGCGGCAUGCCUAACACAUGCAAGUCGAACAAGACCUUCGGGUCUAGUGGCGCACGGGUGCGUAACGCGUGGGAACCUGCCUUUAGGUUCGGAAUAACUCAGAGAAAUUUGAGCUAAUACCGGAUAAUGUCUUCGGACCAAAGAUUUAUCGCCUUUAGAUGGGCCCGCGUUGGAUUAGCUAGUUGGUGGGGUAAAGGCCUACCAAGGCGACGAUCCAUAGCUGGUCUGAGAGGAUGAUCAGCCACACUGGGACUGAGACACGGCCCAGACUCCUACGGAGGCAGCAGUGGGGAAUUUUCCGCAAUGGGCGAAAGCCUGACGGAGCAACGCCGCGUGAGGGAUGAAGGCCUCUGGGCUGUAAACCUCUUUUAUCAAGGAAGAAGAUCUGACGGUACUUGAUGAAUAAGCCACGGCUAAUUCCGUGCCAGCAGCCGCGGUAAUG
RNAcentral lists this ribosomal RNA (452 nucleotides) under uncultured bacterium. RNAcentral describes it as "bacterial SSU rRNA". It matches the Rfam family "Bacterial small subunit ribosomal RNA", at positions 29 to 525 of the family's 1533-position model. The record is from RNAcentral.